GUCAAUCAUACACACACGCAUGUGCACAAACACACACAUGCAAAUGCACACACAUGUUUGUGUGUAAAUAGUUACCUUGUAAAGCGUUUUGAAAUUUGUUCUUUUCUACAGGGACUAAUAUACAAGGCUUGACAGGUAAAACUGGAAGAGGUGUAAUAAAGGGACGAUUCAAGACACAAUCAAGGAAUCUCCUUGACACUGAUACAGAGCACUUCCCAAAUGCUGUUGGAAGGAGUAUGCUGAAGAGUGGUAUCAAGACACAAUCCAAGAGUCAUCCUGGUAAAAAUUUACUUAAAGGCAAAAAUACAUUUUUACAGCAAGAAAAUGUCUAUGCCAGACACGUUGCACCAAGUAAAUAUAAAACAAAAAUAGUUACUUUAUCACCCUUUGAAGAUGAAGGUAAAUUUAUAUAUAAAGGUAUUAAAAUACUGUAUAAUUACAUAGAAUAGUUCUUGUGGUAUUUUUUCCUUCUUUUUGUAUCUUACUUUUUCUCCAGAAAUAUCUUAGAUAAACCCUUGCAAGCCUGAAAAUGAAAUAACUUUAAUUUCUCCUUUUUAC
Molecule: long non-coding RNA, 558 nt
Filed under: Capra hircus (goat)
Lineage: Eukaryota; Metazoa; Chordata; Mammalia; Artiodactyla; Bovidae
Description: lncRNA (ENSCHIG00000001862.1)
Source: RNAcentral